RNAcentral lists this ribosomal RNA (1415 nucleotides) under Escherichia coli. Its description in RNAcentral is "bacterial LSU rRNA". It matches the Rfam family "Bacterial large subunit ribosomal RNA", at positions 1552 to 2925 of the family's 2925-position model. The record is from RNAcentral. Lineage: Bacteria; Pseudomonadati; Pseudomonadota; Gammaproteobacteria; Enterobacterales; Enterobacteriaceae.
AAGGCUGAGGCGUGAUGACGAGGCACUGCGGUGCUGAAGCAACAAAUGCCCUGCUUCCAGGAAAAGCCUCUAAGCAUCAGGUAACAUCAAAUCGUACCCCAAACCGACACAGGUGGUCAGGUAGAGAAUACCAAGGCGCUUGAGAGAACUCGGGUGAAGGAACUAGGCAAAAUGGUGCCGUAACUUCGGGAGAAGGCACGCUGAUAUGUAGGUGAAGUCCCUCGCGGAUGGAGCUGAAAUCAGUCGAAGAUACCAGCUGGCUGCAACUGUUUAUUAAAAACACAGCACUGUGCAAACACGAAAGUGGACGUAUACGGUGUGACGCCUGCCCGGUGCCGGAAGGUUAAUUGAUGGGGUUAGCGCAAGCGAAGCUCUUGAUCGAAGCCCCGGUAAACGGCGGCCGUAACUAUAACGGUCCUAAGGUAGCGAAAUUCCUUGUCGGGUAAGUUCCGACCUGCACGAAUGGCGUAAUGAUGGCCAGGCUGUCUCCACCCGAGACUCAGUGAAAUUGAACUCGCUGUGAAGAUGCAGUGUACCCGCGGCAAGACGGAAAGACCCCGUGAACCUUUACUAUAGCUUGACACUGAACAUUGAGCCUUGAUGUGUAGGAUAGGUGGGAGGCUUUGAAGUGUGGACGCCAGUCUGCAUGGAGCCGACCUUGAAAUACCACCCUUUAAUGUUUGAUGUUCUAACGUUGACCCGUAAUCCGGGUUGCGGACAGUGUCUGGUGGGUAGUUUGACUGGGGCGGUCUCCUCCUAAAGAGUAACGGAGGAGCACGAAGGUUGGCUAAUCCUGGUCGGACAUCAGGAGGUUAGUGCAAUGGCAUAAGCCAGCUUGACUGCGAGCGUGACGGCGCGAGCAGGUGCGAAAGCAGGUCAUAGUGAUCCGGUGGUUCUGAAUGGAAGGGCCAUCGCUCAACGGAUAAAAGGUACUCCGGGGAUAACAGGCUGAUACCGCCCAAGAGUUCAUAUCGACGGCGGUGUUUGGCACCUCGAUGUCGGCUCAUCACAUCCUGGGGCUGAAGUAGGUCCCAAGGGUAUGGCUGUUCGCCAUUUAAAGUGGUACGCGAGCUGGGUUUAGAACGUCGUGAGACAGUUCGGUCCCUAUCUGCCGUGGGCGCUGGAGAACUGAGGGGGGCUGCUCCUAGUACGAGAGGACCGGAGUGGACGCAUCACUGGUGUUCGGGUUGUCAUGCCAAUGGCACUGCCCGGUAGCUAAAUGCGGAAGAGAUAAGUGCUGAAAGCAUCUAAGCACGAAACUUGCCCCGAGAUGAGUUCUCCCUGACUCCUUGAGAGUCCUGAAGGAACGUUGAAGACGACGACGUUGAUAGGCCGGGUGUGUAAGCGCAGCGAUGCGUUGAGCUAACCGGUACUAAUGAACCGUGAGGCUUAACCUUACAACGCCGAAGGUGUUU